CUGCUGCACUGCACUUUAGCCUGGGCGACGAGCAAAACUCCUUCCCCACCACAAAAAAAAAAAAAAAAAAAAAAAAAAAGAAGAGAAACUACUGAAGCCAAAAAGCCUCCAAACUUGAAGAUCCCUCUUGCUAAGGAACAAUUACUUGACUUAGGCAUCUAGAUUGCUCUGUGUGUCUUGAGUAUACAUGAAGAGUAUAAACCCCCACCAACCAUCCAGGAUCAUUCAGCAACCCUCUGUGUGAAUUUGAGUUUUUUUUUUUUUUUAAUAUUGUAAGUUGUCUGGGUGUCCUUUCUGACCUUUUCUUCUAUGAAGUCCUGAAUUUCUAACUUGCUUCUAAAUUGCUGAAUGUCACAUUGUCCUGUUGUAGCUUUCUCUGAAAUGCACAGGAAAUGUCUGUAGGGUUGGCAAGCUCCUCCUCCCCCGACUUCACUCCUAUUCCACACAUGUACUUUCAGCAUUUGAGAGCCUGUCUUCUCUCUUAGCUCCCUUAAAAACAUUUGUAGUAUUUCCACUUUUUAUGAAGUUAAAAUGGUUUAUUUUCAAUCCACUGAGUUAGAAGGAUCAUGUCUAUCCUUAACCUUUGCCAAAUAUCCUUAAAAAUCAUUUUUUUCUUGGGAAACUUCCAUAAUGCCAUUCUUAUAAAUGCAUGCCAAGCCUGAGCCUGUGGGUGGUUUUCUUCAUCUGAACUUACUUUUCAAAUAUAGCAGUAUGAGACUUGAGGUAGGGGAAGCAGCAUCAGAAAUGGAAGGGCUGGAAACUAGACUCAGGACAUUGUUUAAAAUAAUCAGAAUAAAUACUUUCAUUUAUUUAACAUUCU
Homo sapiens (human) is the source of this 820-nucleotide long non-coding RNA. The record is from Ensembl. NCBI's taxonomy places the organism in Eukaryota, Metazoa, Chordata, Mammalia, Primates, Hominidae.